This is a long non-coding RNA of Xiphophorus couchianus (Monterrey platyfish), 2206 nucleotides long. RefSeq lists it as uncharacterized. The record is from RefSeq and is a predicted model, not a curated record. Lineage: Eukaryota; Metazoa; Chordata; Actinopteri; Cyprinodontiformes; Poeciliidae. The transcript is spliced from 4 exons.
AACAACUACAGCCAGAUGCUUCAUGGAAGAUAUGCUGUGUGCGUGUUCUUGGAAAUGCAGACAGCUAUGGAGAAGCACGACGAAAGCUUGCAAAGGCAGAAGCAACAUCAGAUCUUCAAACAGAUAGUGAUAUCCCAGAAAAGCGACGUAGAAGGUAGUGUGGAACAGGGACUUAUGUAACACACAACUCUAAACCUUCUGUCUUCCUAGUUGUCAUUUGAGCCGCUCUCAAUUCCUUUACCCAUUUGGUUCUCUUUGCUUUACUUUUUUCUCAUCCUUCAGGACUUAAAGGAACAACAUAUUUGUAAGAAUGGAAAAUUACACAGGAAAAAAUGCUAAUACUUGUGAGCUUUACUAUAGAUUUUGCCACAUUCCUACUUUAAAUGAACUAGAUUACUGUUUUUUUAACCAUAUUGGUUGUCAUAGGUUCAACUGUAACGUUUUAUCUUUUGGAUAUUAUUUCUGUAUCUCUCACAGUUAACUUGAAAUAAAAUAGUUAAAUUGCUCACUAGACUGUAGCCUUUUUGGUUGUUGUUUUUUUUUUACCAACUUUUACCACUUGUUAAAUUCUGAUUUAUCAUUUCAGAUCCUCCCACAAAUGGGGCACAUUUUCUUCAAGUGAAGACAGUGUGGACUCCUCAGAGAAUGAAGUUCCACCUUCUCCUCCCUUGGAACCUACCACAUUUGGAUCUGCCUCAAAAGUGUGUAGUCUCGGUGUGUCCAGAAAGAGAAGCCCCAGCACAACUCCAAAUCUGAGAAGUGCAACUGCAAGUCUUUCUAUGAGUCCUGGGACUUCUUUGAGCAGGAGCAGCUCCAGCUUGGGAGAGGCUAUGUUUACUAGGCUGGUUACACUUCUUGAGGAGGUUAGAGAAACACAAAGACUACACGGACAGUUGCUGAAUACCUUGCUGAGACAGAAAUCUGCUUCACCACCGGUUGAACCACCUGAAGGAGCUGUUUUUCCAAUGUGUACAAUCAAUGAUGUCCUGGGCAUGAAUGAGAAGCUGGGUGACUCAGACUUCAUGUCUGGAGUUGUUGCCAUGGUUGCAGAAAUUAGAGGAGCAUCCUUGGAUGACGCAAUACGACGGGCUAUGCGAUUCCUGAUGUCCCAUGAAUUAGCAGUCCAGUUCAACCUGUUUGGCCGACAUGGGAAACACCAGUUCCGGGACCUGCGUCUCUUUGAUGUUGUGUAUGGGGCACUUAAAAGAAAUGGUUCCAUCGUUGGACUCACACAUAAAGAUGUGGAAAAGGCACUCUCAAAGUGGUUCACUGGAGCCCGUGACAGGGGUGGGAAUAGGAGAGUUAGAGCAAGUAGGGAGGCUGCCAAUUCUCACUCUGGUGGGCAGGUCUUCCAAGAAGGACAGUUACAAUAAUAUGCGAGCUUUCAAGUGUAAGCAUGCAUGUAGGUUAUUCUAAAAGGUUUUGUGAAAGGUGUGUGUAUGUACCAGUAAACAAGUUUGUUGUUCAAAAAUGCCAUGUGAACAAUUUUGUAGAUUUGAAUUUAUUUUUUUUGUUGUUGUUUAAGAGCGCCAUUUGUGCUUGUGGCACCGUUUGCUUUGUUAAUUAAGUUCUAAUAAUUGCUGAGGUAUAAAAUAACUUCUGAUUACAAAAUAAACAGCCUUGACCAAAGGAAAUUUCUUUUUUUCUCUUUAAACAAAUUUUGUGAUAAAGCGUUUUAGGACUUUGGUUUGUUUAAAACUGCAUAUCUAUGAAUGUUAUUCAUUUCAAGGUUAGGUGAGAACAACCCCAUUGUUCCUAUAAGGAUUAAGGCAUCUGGCUCCCACUGAAAACCCAGUCAGGGCCUGUAAACCAAUAUGGGCUAAAGCAUAUGGGCCCAUCAUGGAAAAUGUGGAACUACUAAUUUGUUACCCAUAUUCUAGCCCAGUUCAGACCCAAUUGGGGUCCAGGUAAAUAUUCCUGAAAGCACCCUAGUGGGCCACAGAUGGGCCUCGUGUAAGUUAACCAUAUGGGCCCCACUGAAAACCCAGUCAGAGCCCAUUAAAAUCUACCUGGGCAAACCCAUGUGGGGCCACCAUGGAAACUGUGGACAAACCCACUUGUUACCCAUAUUCUAGCCCAGUUCAGACCCAAUUGGGGCCCAGGUAAAUAUUCCUGAAAGCACCCUAGUGGGCCACAGAUGGGCCUCGUGUAAGUUAACCAUCUGGGCCCCACUGAAGACCCAGUCAGAGCCCUUUAAAAUCUACCU